This 465-nucleotide ribosomal RNA is filed under the name uncultured bacterium. Its description in RNAcentral is "partial 16S ribosomal RNA". It matches the Rfam family "Bacterial small subunit ribosomal RNA", at positions 339 to 795 of the family's 1533-position model. The record is from RNAcentral.
CUACGGGUGGCUGCAGUGGGGAAUAUUGGACAAUGGGGGAAACCCUGAUCCAGCAAUGCCGCGUGUGUGAAGAAGGCCUGCUGGUUGUAAAGCACUUUCGGUUGGGAGGACUGCUUCUAGCACUAAUAUUGUUGGAAGUUGACGUUACCUUCAGAAGAAGCACCGGCUAACUCCGUGCCAGCAGCCGCGGUAAUACGGAGGGUGCAAGCGUUAAUCGGAAUUACUGGGCGUAAAGCGCGCGUAGGCGGCUAGAUCAGUCGGGUGUGAAAGCCCCGGGCUUAACCUGGGAACUGCAUCCGAUACUGUCUAGCUUGAGUACAGGAGAGGAGAGUGGAAUUCCAGAUGUAGCGGUGAAAUGCGUAGAUAUGUGGAGGAACACCAAUGGCGAAGGCAGCUCUCUGGCCUGAUACUGACGCUGAGGUGCGAAAGCGUGGGGAGCAAGCAGGAUUAGAUACCCCUGUAGUC